UACGUAGGGUCCAAGCGUUAAUCGGAAUUACUGGGCGUAAAGCGUGCGCAGGCGGUUGUGCAAGACCGAUGUGAAAUCCCCGAGCUUAACUUGGGAAUUGCAUUGGUGACUGCACGGCUAGAGUGUGUCAGAGGGGGGUAGAAUUCCACGUGUAGCAGUGAAAUGCGUAGAGAUGUGGAGGAAUACCGAUGGCGAAGGCAGCCCCCUGGGAUAACACUGACGCUCAUGCACGAAAGCGUGGGGAGCAAACAGGAUUAGAUACCCUGGUAGUCCACGCCCUAAACGAUGUCAACUAGUUGUUGGGGAUUCAUUUCCUUAGUAACGUAGCUAACGCGUGAAGUUGACCGCCUGGGGAGUACGGUCGCAAGAUUAAAACUCAAAGGAAUUGGCGGGGGAGCACGGGGCGGGGGCGGCGGGCCGGGCGCGGGGCGCGGCGGGC
Molecule: ribosomal RNA, 439 nt
Filed under: uncultured archaeon
Lineage: Archaea
Description: bacterial SSU rRNA
Rfam family: Bacterial small subunit ribosomal RNA
Source: RNAcentral